RNAcentral lists this non-coding RNA (29 nucleotides) under Rattus norvegicus (Norway rat). The record is from RNAcentral. Lineage: Eukaryota; Metazoa; Chordata; Mammalia; Rodentia; Muridae.
CUGGAUUCUAUUCUUGUUGAAAACACAAC